CCUACGGGAGGCUGCAGUGGGGAAUAUUGGACAAUGGGCGAAAGCCUGAUCCAGCCAUGCCGCGUGUGUGAAGAAGGCCUUCGGGUUGUAAAGCACUUUCAGUGGGGAAGAAAGCCUUGGGGCUAAUACCCUCGAGGAAGGACAUCACCCACAGAAGAAGCACCGGCUAACUCCGUGCCAGCAGCCGCGGUAAUACGGAGGGUGCGAGCGUUAAUCGGAAUUACUGGGCGUAAAGCGCGCGUAGGCGGUCUGAUAAGCCGGUUGUGAAAGCCCCGGGCUCAACCUGGGAACGGCAUCCGGAACUGUCAGGCUAGAGUGCAGGAGAGGACGGUAGAAUUCCCGGUGUAGCGGUGAAAUGCGUAGAGAUCGGGAGGAAUACCAGUGGCGAAGGCGGCCUUCUGGACUGACACUGACGCUGAGGUGCGAAAGCGUGGGUAGCAAACAGGAUUAGAUACCCGAGUAGUC
Molecule: ribosomal RNA, 465 nt
Filed under: Vreelandella stevensii
Lineage: Bacteria; Pseudomonadati; Pseudomonadota; Gammaproteobacteria; Oceanospirillales; Halomonadaceae
Description: partial 16S ribosomal RNA
Rfam family: Bacterial small subunit ribosomal RNA
Source: RNAcentral